CACCUAUUGAAUCUGGUAGCUCAGUGAUAUUAUAACCACGGAAGGAUAGCACCCUUAAACAUCGUAACAUUGAUAACAAAUAAGAAGGGACACAAUUUGCUAAGGAGUUAUAUCGAAAACCAUAACGGUGUAGUGAUAAAGGCAGGAAGGUUCGCAUACACUUGAUAUUUUCAAACAACUCAAAUCUUUCACAGCGAUCAUAGGGGCUAGGGAUGUAAGAAGAGUGGCGAGAUUUUUCUCGCUUACGUGGAGUCACUUUAUCCUCCAAUCUGAAACAUGCAUCUCCAGCAACCACUUGUGCUAGGUCAUUCACCAGGUCAUGCAUUAUGAAUCCACCAGUGCUUGAAGAUUGAAAAAAUGAUCUAGAGAAUAGAUCUUGAAAAUACUCUUCUCCCACAUCC
This 401-nucleotide unclassified non-coding RNA is filed under the name Hevea brasiliensis (rubber tree). Lineage: Eukaryota; Viridiplantae; Streptophyta; Magnoliopsida; Malpighiales; Euphorbiaceae. The record is from RNAcentral.